Molecule: ribosomal RNA, 497 nt
Filed under: uncultured bacterium
Lineage: Bacteria
Description: partial 16S ribosomal RNA
Rfam family: Bacterial small subunit ribosomal RNA
Source: RNAcentral
GAUGAACGCUGGCGGCGUGCCUAAUACAUGCAAGUCGAGCGAACGGACGAGAAGCUUGCUUCUCUGAUGUUAGCGGCGGACGGGUGAGUAACACGUGGAUAACCUACCUAUAAGACUGGGAUAACUUCGGGAAACCGGAGCUAAUACCGGAUAAUAUUUUGAACCGCAUGGUUCAAAAGUGAAAGACGGUCUUGCUGUCACUUAUAGAUGGAUCCGCGCUGCAUUAGCUAGUUGGUAAGGUAACGGCUUACCAAGGCAACGAUGCAUAGCCGACAUGAGAGGGUGAUCGGCCACACUGGAACUGAGACACGGUCCAGACUCCUACGGGAGGCAGCAGUAGGGACUCUUCCGCAAUGGGCGAAAGCCUGACGGAGCAACGCCGCGUGAGUGAUGAAGGUCUUCGGAUCGUAAAACUCUGUUAUUAGGGAAGAACAUAUGUGUAAGUAACUGUGCACAUCUUGACGGUACCUAAUCAGAAAGCCACGGCUAACUACGUG